Molecule: ribosomal RNA, 1434 nt
Filed under: uncultured organism
Description: 16S ribosomal RNA
Rfam family: Bacterial small subunit ribosomal RNA
Source: RNAcentral
CAGGCUUAACACAUGCAAGUCGAGGGGCAGCAUUUCAGUUUGCUUGCAAACUGGAGAUGGCGACCGGCGCACGGGUGAGUAACACGUAUCCAACCUGCCGAUAACUCGGGGAUAGCCUUUCGAAAGAAAGAUUAAUACCCGAUGGCAUAAUUAGACCGCAUGGUCUUAUUAUUAAAGAAUUUCGGUUAUCGAUGGGGAUGCGUUCCAUUAGGCAGUUGGUGAGGUAACGGCUCACCAAACCUUCGAUGGAUAGGGGUUCUGAGAGGAAGGUCCCCCACAUUGGAACUGAGACACGGUCCAAACUCCUACGGGAGGCAGCAGUGAGGAAUAUUGGUCAAUGGGUGCAGGCCUGAACCAGCCAAGUAGCGUGAAGGAUGACUGCCCUAUGGGUUGUAAACUUCUUUUAUAUGGGAAUAAAGUUUUCCACGUGUGGAAUUUUGUAUGUACCAUAUGAAUAAGGAUCGGCUAACUCCGUGCCAGCAGCCGCGGUAAUACGGAGGAUCCGAGCGUUAUCCGGAUUUAUUGGGUUUAAAGGGAGCGUAGGUGGACAGUUAAGUCAGUUGUGAAAGUUUGCGGCUCAACCGUAAAAUUGCAGUUGAUACUGGCUGUCUUGAGUACAGUAGAGGUGGGCGGAAUUCGUGGUGUAGCGGUGAAAUGCUUAGAUAUCACGAAGAACUCCGAUUGCGAAGGCAGCUCACUGGACUGCAACUGACACUGAUGCUCGAAAGUGUGGGUAUCAAACAGGAUUAGAUACCCUGGUAGUCCACACAGUAAACGAUGAAUACUCGCUGUUUGCGAUAUACAGUAAGCGGCCAAGCGAAAGCAUUAAGUAUUCCACCUGGGGAGUACGCCGGCAACGGUGAAACUCAAAGGAAUUGACGGGGGCCCGCACAAGCGGAGGAACAUGUGGUUUAAUUCGAUGAUACGCGAGGAACCUUACCCGGGCUUAAAUUGCAUUUGAAUAUAUUGGAAACAGUAUAGCCGUAAGGCAAAUGUGAAGGUGCUGCAUGGUUGUCGUCAGCUCGUGCCGUGAGGUGUCGGCUUAAGUGCCAUAACGAGCGCAACCCUUAUCUUUAGUUACUAACAGGUCAUGCUGAGGACUCUAGAGAGACUGCCGUCGUAAGAUGUGAGGAAGGUGGGGAUGACGUCAAAUCAGCACGGCCCUUACGUCCGGGGCUACACACGUGUUACAAUGGGGGGUACAGAAGGCAGCUACCUGGUGACAGGAUGCUAAUCCCAAAAGCCUCUCUCAGUUCGGAUCGAAGUCUGCAACCCGACUUCGUGAAGCUGGAUUCGCUAGUAAUCGCGCAUCAGCCAUGGCGCGGUGAAUACGUUCCCGGGCCUUGUACACACCGCCCGUCAAGCCAUGAAAGCCGGGGGUACCUGAAGUACGUAACCGCAAGGAGCGUCCUAGGGUAAAACUGGUAAUUGGGG